UUUCCUCCGUUUCUCUCUGUUUUCUCCUCUCAUUUGUUCUUGAGUGGAGAUUAUCAAUUAAGCAGCAGCAUGUAAAGAUCAGAGAUGGCGGCACCUUUCACGUUGAGGAAAAUCGGAGUCCCGCCGAACUCAGCGAACCUGACGGAAGCUCGACGCCGUGUAUUCGACUUCUUCAGAGCUGCGAGUAGAUCCCUCCCCACCGUAAUGGACAUUUACAAUCUUCAAGAUGUCGUCGCGCCUUCUCAGCUACGUUUCGCAAUAACGCUCACGUCAUUGAUCCUAAGCCAAGAACAUUAUUCUCGCUGGUGUGAAGUCAGUGACUCUUCACGAUGAAAAUGUGGUUGAGCUAUGGGACUUGUCUAGUAACUUUGUUUUCUCGGAGGAGGACGUUGGUAAGAAUAGGGCACUUGCUUCUCUUCAGAAGCUGCAAGAACUCCACAAUGCCGUGAAUGUCUCAAACUUUGACCGACAAGUUAACCAAAGAGCAGCUUUCUUGUUUCCAGUUUCUUCCACGGCUAUGAUCACCUGCUACGCGAAGCAAGGGAACGUUGAGGCUGCGAGGGAUUUGUUCGAAAGAGUGCCUGAGACUGAGAGAGACAUUGUUUCUUGG
Long non-coding RNA from Brassica oleracea var. oleracea, 610 nucleotides. RefSeq lists it as uncharacterized. The transcript is spliced from 3 exons. The record is from RefSeq and is a predicted model, not a curated record. Lineage: Eukaryota; Viridiplantae; Streptophyta; Magnoliopsida; Brassicales; Brassicaceae.